Zingiber officinale is the source of this 6561-nucleotide long non-coding RNA. RefSeq lists it as uncharacterized. The transcript has 4 exons. Lineage: Eukaryota; Viridiplantae; Streptophyta; Magnoliopsida; Zingiberales; Zingiberaceae. The record is from RefSeq and is a predicted model, not a curated record.
UAGCUGUUCUGAGGUCUGAACUCUGAACUUUGCUGUGGUGGAGUCCAGACUAAAUUUGUUCUUUCUUUAAUUUCCUCGUCUGCUGGCACAGAGAAAGAGAUGGAGAGUCUGAUGCUCCCCGUACUUCCUCUGGACUUUCUUCCUCAUCAGGGUAGAUGGGAAUGAAGAAGUCAAGAAACAGAGUCAUCUUUACAUGCUUUCGAGGAGCAUAAGCAGAGUACUGAAUGUGCGUGAGAGAGAGGGAGGAUGGAUUGAUAAGAGAGGAACGAAACAGCCAUCUUCAGGCAGAGGUGGUUCAUAUCUGAUGGGCAACAAUCAGACCGUAGCACGAUCAUGGUGCAAAGCACAGUCAAGUUGCGUUUCGUGUUGGAAAUCUAUGUUCAACAGAACACGGUCGUGUUCUUUGACAUGGCUGGGCAGUGUUCUGUUCUGGAGACGGUUAAUUUGGAGAUGUGAAUAUCAUAGGGGUAUAUGUGUCUUAAUUCCUCGAUAUGGCUAGGGUUGUAUAAAUACAAAAGAUGUAAUCCUUACUCAUUAAUUUUCUAGUGAACAUUUGCAGUCGCUCCCAUGGACGUAAACACAUCGCCGAACCAUAUAAAUUUGUGUGCUAUUCUCUCUCGUGUAUUUUAUUUUCAACUACAUAUUUUGUGUCGGAAUUCAUUGCUUGAUCUCAACAAUUGGUAUUAGAGCUCAAGUCAUCAUGUCUGAUAUUUAAUUUGCUAAAUUUGAUCUGGCAAAGUUCAAUGGAAUUGGUAAUUUCGAAUUAUGGUAAAGAAGAGUUAAAAUAUAUGUUAGUAUAACAAGGCAUGGUAAAUCUGUUAUGUGAAAAGAAAUCAGAAUGGAUGGAGAAGAUGGAUUGGGAGGAACUACAAGCGAAGGUUGUGACAACAAUUAAGCUUUGUCUAACUGAGAAUGUGAUGUAUCAUAUUAUGAAUGAGGAAUCACAAGUGAAAGUUUGGUAAAACUUGAAAAGCUAGUAUAUGUCUAAAUCAUUGACAAACAAGCUCUAUCUUAAGCAUAAGCUAUUAGAGCUUAAGAUAUCAAAGGACACAAAUCUAAGUUAGCAUAUCAACGUGAUUUAUUAGAUCAUAAGCGAUCUGAAAUGAGUGAUGUAAAGAUCGAAGAAGAAGAUAACGUGCUAAUGUUGUUGAAUUCUCUACUGACAUCUCAUAUGUAUAAGAAUUUGGUUACAACUCUAACGUGGAUAAAAGAAACUCUCAAGUUAGAUGAAGUCACAAUUGCCUUGUUGGGUUUUUAUCAGUGAAAGAAAGCUAGUGAUAAAAAUUCUCAAGGUGAAGAGCUCAUGGUGAGAGGUAACCAGGAACGUGGUAGGAGCAACUUUUGGUUUGAGUUGGGUAACAAUAGAACUCGAUCUAAAUCAGGGAAGGAGAAGGAGAUCAUGUAUUAUAAGUGCGGAAUAAAAGGGCAUAUCAAGUGAGACUGUCCAAAGAAAAAGAAAGUGAACGCCGAGAAUAAAGAUGGUUUAUUCAAAUAUGCAAAUAUAGUGUAAGAAGAAAAUUUAGAUAUCGACGAUGGUGAUAUGAUUUCUAUCUUAUCUGGUUCAAAACAAUUAACAAACUCUUGGAUUUUGAAUUCAGCAUAUUCCUAUCACAUGACAUCUAACAAAGAUUGAUUUGAUACCUAUAGGUUAGUUAAUUUUGAUUAUGUUCUGAUGGGUAACAAUACAUCUUGUCAAGUUAUUGGAAUAGGAAAUAUCAAAAUUAAAAUAUUUGAUGGUGUGGUUAGAAUGUCAUGAGAUGGUAGGCAUGUAUCAGAUCGGAGGAAAAGUUUAAUUUAUUGGGCACUUUAAAUUGUAAUGGUUGUAGUUAUAAACUGUAAGUUGAGUGAUAAAAGUGACUAAAGGUGUUCUUAUAGUAAUGAAAGGAUAGAAACUAGUAGAAAAUAUUUAUAAACUAUUAGGCACCACAAUUGUAGGUGAAGCUGUCAUUGUAAAAUCUGAAUCAGAUAACACAAUCAUGUGACAUAUGCGACUGGGUCAUAUGGUUGGGCAUGGAAUGAUGAAACUUCAUAAAAGAAAAUUAUUGAUGGGUGUCAAGAUAUGCAAACUCGAUUUCUGCAAGUUCUGUAUUCUUGGAAAAUAAAAUAGAGUGCAAUUCAAGAUAACUACACACAAGAUAGAGAGAAUUCUUAAUUAUGUUUAUAUAAAAAUCUCGGGGCUAGCCAACAUUAUAUUAUAUGGAGGACAUAUGUAUUUUGUAAGUUUCAUUGAUGAUUACUCACCUAAAGUUUGGGUGUAUUCCAUGUGACAUAAGUUAGAGACUUUUACUAAGUUUGAGAUGCGGAAAACUUAAGUAGAGAAUUAGACCAAAGAAAAGUUAAAUGUCCUAGAUUAGAUAAUGGUAUUGAAUACAUAGAGUCGAAUUUUCAAGAAUUUUGUGAGCAAUAUGGGAUAAAAAGACAUUUACAGUUCAUAAGACACCACAACAAAAUGAUGUAGCAAAAAGAAUGAAUCGAACAAUAAUUGAGAAAGCUCGAUGUCUCAUAUUGAAUGUAGGGCUUACAAAGAACUUAUGGGCAGAGGUAGGGAAUAUGACAUAUUUCUUAAUAGAUCACCGAGGGAAGCACUAGAUGGAAAAGUAUCAGAAGAGGCGUGAAUAUGUAAUAUGAUCGAUUACUCUAAUUUGAGAGUGUUUAGAUGUCUAUCCUACAUAUUUAUUUCUAGUGAGGACAGAUUAAAGCUGGAUGCGAAGUUUAGACAAUGUACUUUUUUGAGAUAUUAGAAAGGGUGAAAUACUUAAAGUUUUAGGAUCCUAAGGCAAAUAAAAUAGUGAUUAGUAGAGUUGUGAUCUUUGAUAAAAAAAACAAGUCAUGUAUAGCAUACUUAAGGGGAUGGAAAAACUGUUAUAAAAAAAUUUCAGCAACAAUAAGAUAAGGUGUAGGUGGAGUUAAAAACUCAUGAUUUUGAUUCUCAUAGCUCAAAGAAUAUGGAGCAUCAAAUUAUAAAUAUAGACAAGACCAAACAUAUUAUCAAACUACCUAUCAGGUAUGAUUUUGAAAACUUGAUUUCUUAUACACUUAUCAUUAGUAGUGCGAAUCUUACUAUUUUUCAGAAGAAAAUAUUAGCUCAGAGAAAAAUAAAUGUAUAAAUGUUAUGGUGGAGGAGAUAGAGUCCCUGCACAAAAACCAAACAUGAGAUCAGCUGAAAUUCCCAAAGGAGAAGAAGACUAUAGGAUUAAAUGAAUAUAUAAGAGAAAAGAAGUCAUACUAGAAAAUGAGGAAGAAAAAUUCAAGACUCGUCUAGUAGCAAAGGGUUAUUUAUAGAGAAAAGGAAUUGACUAUGAUGAAAUUUUUUCUCCUGUGAUCAGGCAUACUUCCAUCAGAUCAAUGUUGGCUUUGAUAGCGCAAUGUGAUAUAUAGUUGGAGCAAAUGGAUGUUAAAAUAGUCUUUCUCUAUGGUAAUUUGGAGAAACAAAUUUGUUUGACACAACCAGAGGGGUUUAGUUAGCCUAGGCAAAAGCACAUAGUUUAUAAAUUGAAAAAAAAUAUAUUUUAUGAGCUAAAGCAAUAUCAAAGGCAAUAAUGUAAACUAUUUAACUCUUACAUGAUUCAUAAUGGCUAUAAAAGAUGUGAGUAUAAUUGUUAUAUUUAUGUGAAAAGUCUUGAUGAUGAUUCACUUACUUUCUUGUUAUUUUAUAUGGAUGAUAUGUUGAUUGCUAUGAAAAGUAUGGGUGAGGCUAAUAAAUUGAAAAAAUUAUUGAGUGAAGAAUUUGAUAUGAAAGAUUAGGUGCGACCAAGAAAAUUCUUGGGAUGGAAAUUCAUAGGGACAAAGUCUCUAAAAGAUUAUGGCUAUUUCAGCAUAGUUAUGUUGAGAAGGUGUUAGACAAGUUUAACAUAGGUAAUGAAAAAUCAGUGAGUACACUGCUGACGCAUCAUUUUAAAUUGUCCAUCGCAAAGUGCUGAAAGAUAUAUGAUAAGAUUUAAGAUAUGUUAAAGGUUCCAUAUGCUAGUACAGUGGGUUGUCUGAUGUAUGCUAUGAUUUACACAAAGCCUGAUUUGGUGUAUGCUGUUAGUGUAGUGAGUAAGUUUCUUUCAAAUCCUGAUCGACAAUAUUGAGAUGAAGUCAAGUGGAUUUUUAAAAAUUUGAGAAAUACUGAAAAUUAUGGUAUCAUAUUUAGUAGAUAGUAGAGUGAUCUUUCAGUUGCGGGAUAUGUAGAUGUAGACUAUAUAGGGCAUUUGGUUGAUAGAAGGUCUACUACAAGAUAUAUGUUCACUCUAGUGGGAGGACUCAUUUUUUAGAAGUCCAUGACACAACCAUAGUUGUGUUAUCCACUACUAAGUCAGAGUACAUGGCAGUAACAGAAGUCACCAAAGAAGUGUUAUGGCUUGUAGGGAUGGUUAAAUAACUGGUGUUCGAAAAAGUGGAGUCAAGUUAUAUUGUGAUAGCCAAUGUGUCAUCUAUUAGGCGAAAAAUCAGAUAUAUCAUGUGAGAACCAAACAUAUAAAUAUAAGAUUUCACAAGAUCAUGAAGCUGAUUUUUUUAGUGAAAUAUUACUUUUAAAAGUCCACACUUCGAAAAAUAUUAUAGACAUAUUAACAAAGUCAGUUACUAUAGAGAAGUUCAAGCAUUGCUUGAGUUUGAUCAAUUUCUUUAAUUGCUAGAUAAGAUUCACCCCAAAGUCAGUCUCUCAAGUGGAGUUCUCAGAUGCUCAUUUUUCUUCUAAGAGUGGAUAUCACUAAGGUAGAGAUUGUUGGAGUAGGUGGCUCAUAUUUGAUGGGCAACAAUCAAACUGUGGAACGAUUAUGGUUUGAAGCACGUCCAAGUUGUGCUUCGUGUUGGAAAUCUAUGUUCAACAGAACACGAUCGUGUUCUCUAACACAGCUUGGCCAUGUUCUCUGAUACAACUUGGCCGCGUUUUGUUAUAGAGAUGCUGGUUAAUUUGGGGAUGUAAAUAUUAUAGGAGUAUUUGUGUCUUAAUUCCUAAAUAUGGCUAGAGUUGUAUAAAAUACGAAAGAUAUAACCCUUAGUCGUUAAUUUUCAAGUGAAGAUUACGGCAGUUCCCAUAGACAUAGACAUAUCGAUGAACCAUGUAAAUCAGUGUGUUAUUCUCUCUAGCAUAUUUUCUUUUCGAUUGCUUCAUAUUUUGUGUCGAAAUUUGUCGUUGAUCUCAACCAUUAUAAUUUUAACUUGUAAGUCCAAAUUUCGUCCAUGACGACCGGUCAUGGCUGGUCCCAAGCCCGGAUAAAGGAGUAGUGUUGCAUUAAGUUGUCAGUCAACGUUAAAUCUAUGAUAAAUAUUCAAUGAAUGGAUUCAUUAAAUUAUUGUUCUAAUGCUAUGUUGUUCCUUAGAAGGAACAUGUUGUAGGAUUUGAUUGUAACAUCUCGACAAGGAUCACUACAUCUCUAGAACUCAGAUGUAGUGCUAAAUAUGCAAAAGUUCACGUUGCAUGGUCUGACUGUAACAUCUCGACAAGGACCGCUACAUCUCCAUGAGAACUUGAAUGUAGUGUUAAAUAAGCAAGAGUUCUCAUAUCAUAGGUUGGAUAAGAACAAAUAUAAUAGGAAAACUAAUAAUCUAAGAUUGAGAACAUGGAAUGUAGGAACCCUCACUGUAAAUAAAUGGAGGUAGUAGAUAUGAUGAUUAAGAGAAGAAUUAGUAUUUUAUGUGUACAAGAGAUAAAAUGGGUAGGCGAGAAGGCAAAGAUAAUAGAAAAUUUGAUUUUAAGUUAUGUUACACUGGAAAGAGUAAAGCAAGAAAUGGAGUGAGUAUUAUUAUAGAUAGUUCGUUAAAAGAUGAAGUUGUAGGAGUAGUUAGAAAAGAGGAUAAAAUUAUAGCCUUUAGAUAAUAGUGGUGAAAGAAAAUAUGAAUAUAAUUAGCGUAUAUGCAAUGCAAAUAUGAUUAGAUAAAGCUACAAAAUUAAGAUUUUGGGACGACUUAGAUGAAAUAUUAUAAAACAUUCUGUCAAAUAAAAUGAUUUUAAUUCUAGGUGAUCUAAAUGAGUAUGUCAGAGUGAAAAAUGAGGAAUAUUAGAGGCUACAUGGGAGUUGUGGAUUUGGAACGAGAAAUGAGGAAGGGAAAACAAUAUUCGAUUUUGCGAUAGCAUAUGAUCUUAUAUUAGUUAAUACGUUUUUUAAAAAAGAGAAAAAUACUUAGUCACGUUCAAAAGUAGGAAUAAUAAAUCACAAGUUGACUUUCUUAUAGUUAGGAAGAAGGAUAGAAAGAUUUGAAAAUAUUGUAAAAUCAUUCCUAUAGAAAGCUUAACUAUCGAACAUGUGUUAGUAAUGUUGGAUAUAUGCCUCAAAUAUAGUAUCAAUAGAAAGAAAAUAUAUACAACUCCUAGAAUUAAGUGGUGGAAGUUAAAGGAUAGAAAGCAAAAUAUAUUUAAGGAGAAGGUAGGAGUACAAACAUUAAGUGAAAUAUAUAGUAACUCUAAUACGACAUGAGAUAAGAUGAUAUCAAAGUUGAAAAUAAUAGUUAAGAGUGUACUCAGUGAGUUAAAUAGACAUGCACCACUAAGUAAGAAAUCUUUGAGGUGGAAUGAGAAAGCAUAAGAGAAAGGGAAGGAAAAAUGAAUAGCUUAUAAGGGAUUAUAUAUUUAUAAAA